AGUGAACGCUGGCGGUAGGCCUAACACAUGCAAGUCGAACGGCAGCACAGUAAGAGCUUGCUCUUACGGGUGGCGAGUGGCGGACGGGUGAGGAAUACAUCGGAAUCUACUUUUUCGUGGGGGAUAACGUAGGGAAACUUACGCUAAUACCGCAUACGACCUCCGGGUGAAAGCAGGGGAUCUUCGGACCUUGCGCGAUUGAAUGAGCCGAUGUCGGAUUAGCUAGUUGGCGGGGUAAAGGCCCACCAAGGCGACGAUCCGUAGCUGGUCUGAGAGGAUGAUCACCCACACUGGAACUGAGACACGUCCCCGACUCCUACGGGAGGCAGCAGUGGGGAAUAUUGGACAAUGGGCGCAAGCCUGAUCCAGCCAUACCGCGUGGGUGAAGAAGGCCUUCGGGUUGUAAAGCCCUUUUGUUGGGAAAGAAAAGCAGCAGGUUAAUACCCCGCUGUUCUGACGGUACCCAAAGAAUAAGCACCGGCUAACUUCGUG
This 492-nucleotide ribosomal RNA is filed under the name uncultured bacterium. RNAcentral describes it as "partial 16S ribosomal RNA". It matches the Rfam family "Bacterial small subunit ribosomal RNA", at positions 29 to 507 of the family's 1533-position model. The record is from RNAcentral.